Macaca fascicularis (crab-eating macaque) is the source of this 148-nucleotide unclassified non-coding RNA. It matches the Rfam family "Metazoan signal recognition particle RNA". From Rfam's summary of the family: The signal recognition particle (SRP) is a universally conserved ribonucleoprotein. It is involved in the co-translational targeting of proteins to membranes. The record is from Ensembl. Lineage: Eukaryota; Metazoa; Chordata; Mammalia; Primates; Cercopithecidae.
GCCGGGCAUGGUGGUGGGCGCCUGUAAUCCCAGCUACUCAGGAGGCUGAGGCAGGAGAAUUGCUUGAACCCAGGAGGUGGAGGCUGCAGUGAGCCAAGAUUGAGCCACUGCACUCCAGCCUGGGUGACAGAGCGAGACCCCGUCUCAG